CAACCUGCCCCGAAGACCGGGAUAACAGUGGGAAACCGCUGCUAAUACCGGAUGCCCCCACCGAGUCCCAUGGCUUGGUGAGGAAAUGCCUGAUUCUUUUGAGUCAGAACGCUUCGGGAGGGGCUCGCGGCCUAUCAGCUUGUUGGUGGGGUAACGGCCUACCAAGGCGACGACGGGUAGCUGGUCUGAGAGGACGAUCAGCCACACUGGGACUGAGACACGGCCCAG
RNAcentral lists this ribosomal RNA (228 nucleotides) under uncultured bacterium. Its description in RNAcentral is "partial 16S ribosomal RNA". It matches the Rfam family "Bacterial small subunit ribosomal RNA", at positions 122 to 334 of the family's 1533-position model. The record is from RNAcentral.